GUCCCGAAGGGGCGGCAUACCGGAUAAUGUCGUUUGUCCCCCGGCGACCGACCAAAGAUUCAUCGGCGCAAGAGUGGCCUAUCUCCUAUCACCUUGUUGGUGAGGUAAUGGCCCACCAAGGCUAACACGGGUUGCGGGACUGAGAGGUUGGCCCGCCCAUCCGGACUGAGACACUGCCCGGACCCCCCGGGGGGCUGCAGUAACGGAUAUUGGGCAAUGGGCGAAAGCCUGACCCAGCGACGCCGCGUGUAGGAGGAAGUCUCUCGGGAUGUAAACUACUGUCCCGGGGAAGAAAGUGCGUUUCGGCCCAUUGAUCUCUCCCACAGGAAGUCCCGGUUAACUUCGUGCCACCACCCGCGGUCAGACGAAGGUGGCCAGCGCUGUUCGGCAUUACUGGUCUUAACGCGUGUGUCGGCGGACCAGUAAGCGUUUUGUGAAAUCCCUCGGCUUAACCGAGGAAUUGCUUGCCCAACUGCUUUUCUUGAGGCAAGUAGGGGUGCACGGAACUCUUGGUGGAUCCGGUGGAAUGCGUUCAUAUCUACAGGACCGCCGGCGGUGAAGACGGUGCACUGGGCUUGUACUGACGCUGAUACACAAAAGCCCUGGGAGCCGA
RNAcentral lists this ribosomal RNA (613 nucleotides) under uncultured microorganism. RNAcentral's name for it is "bacterial SSU rRNA". It matches the Rfam family "Bacterial small subunit ribosomal RNA", at positions 148 to 772 of the family's 1533-position model. The record is from RNAcentral.